CGCCUCUUGCUAAAAUAUAAGAGGUCCCGCCUGCCCUGUGACUUAGUUUAACGGCCGCGGUAUCUUAACCGUGCAAAGGUAGCACAAUCAAUUGUCCCUUAAAUAGGGACUAGUAUGAAUGGCAUCACGAGGGCUUAACUGUCUCCCCUCUUUAAUCAAUGAAACUGAUUUCCCCGUGAAGAAGCGGGGAUAAAACUAUAAGACGAGAAGACCCCAUGGAGCUUCAAACUCAUCACCACCUAUUUAACAAACAUAUCAUAUAACUCACUAGGCCUGUUCUGAUAGUUUUUGGUUGGGGUGACCCUGGAGUAUAAUAAACCCUCCAGAACGACAAGAAUUAAUUAUUCUUAUCCAAGAGCUACAACUCUAAGAAUCAAAUAUUUGACGUCAUUGACCCACUAAGUGAUCAACGAACCAAGUUACCCUGGGGAUAACAGCGCAAUCCAUUUCAAGAGUCCCUAUCGACAAAUGGGUUUACGACCUCGAUGUUGGAUCGGGGUACCCCAGUGGCGCAGCCGCUACUAAAGGUUCGUUUGUUCAACGAUUAAUAACCCC
This 555-nucleotide ribosomal RNA is filed under the name Cryptothylax greshoffii (Greshoff's wax frog). Its description in RNAcentral is "partial 16S ribosomal RNA". It matches the Rfam family "Bacterial large subunit ribosomal RNA", at positions 1817 to 2597 of the family's 2925-position model. Lineage: Eukaryota; Metazoa; Chordata; Amphibia; Anura; Hyperoliidae. The record is from RNAcentral.